AGAAUCAACGCUGGCGGCGUGCCUAACACAUGCAAGUCGAACGAGAAAGUGGAGCAAUCCAUGAGUAAAGUGGCGCACGGGUGAGUAACACGUGACUAACCUACCCUUGAGUGGGGGAUAACCUAGGGAAACCUGGGCUAAUACCGCAUAAUACCUUCGGGUCAAAGGAGCAAUUCGCUUAAGGAGGGGGUCGCGGCCGAUUAGUUAGUUGGCUGGGUAAUGGCCCACCAAGACUAUGAUCGGUAUCCGGCCUGAGAGGGCGCACGGACACACUGGAACUGAAACACGGUCCAGACUCCUACGGGAGGCAGCAGUGGGGAAUUUUGCGCAAUGGGGGAAACCCUGACGCAGCAACGCCGCGUGGAGGAUGAAGUCCCUUGGGACGUAAACUCCUUUCGAUCGGGACGAUAAUGACGGUACCGAGAGAAGAAGCCCCGGCUAACUUCGCGCCAGCAGCCGC
This 460-nucleotide ribosomal RNA is filed under the name uncultured bacterium. RNAcentral's name for it is "SSU rRNA". It matches the Rfam family "Bacterial small subunit ribosomal RNA", at positions 26 to 518 of the family's 1533-position model. The record is from RNAcentral.